GCCGUCUUGGCGCAAUGGUAGCGCGUCGCUUUCCUAUCCAUGUGUGUUUAACAUGCAUUGAGGAGUGAGGCGGAGGUUGUGGGUUCGAGCCCCAUAGGCGGUA
Crucibulum laeve is the source of this 103-nucleotide non-coding RNA. NCBI's taxonomy places the organism in Eukaryota, Fungi, Basidiomycota, Agaricomycetes, Agaricales, Nidulariaceae. The record is from the annotation of a GenBank genome assembly.